Molecule: long non-coding RNA, 1818 nt
Organism: Cyprinus carpio carpio
Lineage: Eukaryota; Metazoa; Chordata; Actinopteri; Cypriniformes; Cyprinidae
Source: Ensembl
UUUUUUCAUGUUGAAUAUCCUGUUUCACACAAAAAUACAGCAGAUUAUGGAAACAAAAUGUGUUGUGAACACAGUUUCAUGUUGAUUUUAAAGUUGAAACGGCAUGUUUUAUCAGAAACACAUAUGAAUCCAUCAGUAAUGUACUAGUGUGUGUUCAUAUGUUCAGCACACGUAUGUGAACAGACCUGAGCUCUUGAAGACUGUGUUUUCAGCUCAAACGUUCCCUCCUCACACUUCACAGAUAACCUUGGACACAAAACAUGAAUAUGGAGAGGAAGUCUCAUGAAUAAAUAAUCACCAGCACCGCAAAACAGCUGGAGCUCAAAAAGAGGUGGAGGAGAGAGAGAAGAGAAGCACAGAAGCACAGAACGAUGAGCAGGAGAGAGAACACAGCAUGACGUGAACGGGUUUUGUGUGUCUUGGUGUGACAGCAGGUUCAGCCUUUGGUUUGUAGUUGCUGUCCAGACAUUGUGAGUCGCCGGCAGUUUCAAACACACACAGUGGUCAAAGGAUGCUAUGCACAAUGAAAGCGAGUGUUCUUCCAGCAGUCUGGAGCGCAUCUGCGUUGGUCACAUGUCAGACCGCGCUGGGAUUGCAGAAGUGGCUGAGAGUCAAGGUCACUGGGUAAAAGCCUCUGGGAAAAUGAAUGAGAACAUGAUACUCUGCUUGCUAGCUCUCGCUUGGAUCUACAGAAGCUUGAGAAAACGAGACGGCUGUCACAGUUCACUAGUUUAUCUGAAGCUUACAUGAUGAACCAGGCUUUCAACUUAGUGUCUGAAAAACAGCAGGCAGAGUCUUACAGUCAGUACUGACAUUGACUGAUUGGCUCAGCGGUCGUCUUCAAGGGUCUUUACACACAGUUAUCCUGUGAAUAAGGACACGGACUUCUAUUGUUUUAAUAAAAACCCAGUAAUAAUGAAUAAAGACGGACUGUAACAUACCAAAGGUCCUUAGAAGGCCUGAACUGAUUCAAAAACUGAUUCAAGUCCGUUUUAUUUUAAUGUUGCAGGUUGUAGGGUUAUUUAAUUUAAUUUAUUUCAUUUUUUAUUAUCCAUCCAUCAAUUUUUUUUAUUGUUUAAUUUAUUUAUUAAUUUUUUUUAUCAGAAUUGCAAGUUUAGAUUUUAAUAUCUUCUCAAUUCUGACUUUUUUUUUUUUUUUCAGAAUUCUGAGUUCAAGUCUGUUUUUUUUCUGCCACAAAAUUCUGCAAAAGUAAUUCCUCACAAUGCAGAUUUUCCCUCAGGAUUCUGAUUCCGUUUUUCACCACGAAACAAGUUAACUGCGACUUUUUAUCUCACCAUUCUGAGAAAAAAAGACCUAAUUGUGAGAAACUCAGAAUUGCGAGAAAAAGCCAGAAUUGUGAAAUAAGUCGCAAUUAUCUUAAUUUUUUUUAAUGCCGUGGCUUCCGUAAGAAAUCCCAGAAACACUUUAAUACAGACACACAGUAUUCUACACAAACAGAAUAUUCUGGUGCGUUCUGAUGUGUGCUGUGAGAUCUUCUAGCGAUGACGCUGUGUCAGUGUUGUUUAUGUUUGCUGCAGGAAUCCUGGCAGGACUGCGUGGAGCUCGAGGGAUCGAGGGAAAUGGAAGUUUGGCAUAAUAAAAGUGUUUUAUUCCACAACACGCCUCAUACGGCUCAUUAAAGUCAGCCGUGUUUCCCCAGAACACACUCCAGCAUCAACACACACGCUACACGCUUAAUGCACAGUUCUGAGUAUAAAACUAUUACUGUAAAUAUAACCUUUUUAGAUAUGUAUCUGAUUUAUAUAUUAGCACUGGCGUGACUACACAUUAAUCAGUCUACAGUCACACAGAAAAGUA